This 275-nucleotide ribosomal RNA is filed under the name uncultured bacterium. Its description in RNAcentral is "partial 16S ribosomal RNA". It matches the Rfam family "Bacterial small subunit ribosomal RNA", at positions 523 to 796 of the family's 1533-position model. The record is from RNAcentral.
AUACGUAGGGGGCAAGCGUUGUCCGGAAUUACUGGGCGUAAAGAGCUCGUAGGCGGCUCAGCAAGUCGGUCGUGAAAGCCCGAGGCUCAACCUCGGAACUGCGGUCGAUACUGCUGUGGCUAGAGUCCGGUAGAGGUGAGUGGAAUUCCCGGUGUAGCGGUGGAAUGCGCAGAUAUCGGGAGGAACACCAGUGGCGAAGGCGGCUCUCUGGGCCGGUACUGACGCUGAGGAGCGAAAGCGUGGGGAGCAAACAGGAUUAGAAACCCUAGUAGUCC